RNAcentral lists this transfer RNA (79 nucleotides) under Anguilla anguilla (European eel). RNAcentral describes it as "tRNA-OTHER". Lineage: Eukaryota; Metazoa; Chordata; Actinopteri; Anguilliformes; Anguillidae. The record is from RNAcentral.
GGCAGUGUGGUAUAAUGGAUAAAGCGCUGGUCUUGUAACCGGAAGGUCGCAGGUUCGAUUCCUGGGUUGAACACUGCCG